AACAGAGCCUUUUAUCCUCAAAUUUGCCAACACAUUGAGGGGCAGUAACUGAAACAAGAAAAGGAGUUAGGCAAACAAAGGAGGCACAAGAAACUUCUGUGUUGUAACUUCUUUUCUUUCUACAAGGGAACAGUUUUGGACCAUCCCCAUGUAGAGGAUGAUACAGAUAACAAACUCUCUGGUGCUGCCCUGAUUAGUUUCACUGGAAAAUACCUUUGGUUGUAUGAGUGAGGAAGAAGAAUGUGAGUCUGGACUAUGCAAGAGCUUUGAAUUUAUUUAUCUA
Molecule: long non-coding RNA, 283 nt
Filed under: Anas platyrhynchos platyrhynchos (common mallard)
Lineage: Eukaryota; Metazoa; Chordata; Aves; Anseriformes; Anatidae
Description: lncRNA (ENSAPLG00000031081.1)
Source: RNAcentral